This 253-nucleotide ribosomal RNA is filed under the name uncultured bacterium. RNAcentral describes it as "partial 16S ribosomal RNA". It matches the Rfam family "Bacterial small subunit ribosomal RNA", at positions 524 to 776 of the family's 1533-position model. The record is from RNAcentral.
UACAUAGGGAGCGAGCGUUAAUCGGAAUUACUGGGCGUAAAGCGCACGUAGGUGGCGACGUAAGUCGGGUGUGAAAGCCCCGGGCUCAACCUGGGAAUUGCAUUCGAGACUGCAUUGCUGGAGUACGGAAGAGGAGGGCGGAAUUCCCGGUGUAGCGGUGAAAUGCGUAGAUAUCGGGAGGAACAUCAGUGGCGAAGGCGGCCCUCUGGUCCAGUACUGACACUCAAGUGCGAAAGCGUGGGGAGCAAACAGG